AGUUGAGAACAAGCGUUUAGGGAAUCCGAAACUCGGGGAACCCCGGCGAUCGUCUACUCUCUGCCCCCGUACAAGAACUCGCACACCACACAUCACACGAAUACACACACACGCACAGACAUUCACACUCCUCCCGCCGUGAUUUGCUUCCGGGGAAACAAGUCCGAGAGGACACUCGCCAAAAGUCACGCAGCGAGGAGUCGGAUAGAAGCAGGAUUUAAAAUCUCACGGCUCUGGCCCGGGAGCUGGGCCUAUAUCCUGUGUAGCCUCUAGGAAGCGCUAGACACAUGUCGUCAGCUUGGAUAUAGUCGUAUGCAUCUACAUCACAAGUGGAGUAAGGAGGCAGAAAUGAAAAACCACCCGGAAAUGCAAGAGGCCUGUCUGAAUGGAUGUGGCCUGGAGGAGUCCCUAGGAGCAGAGACCUGGCCCCUGACUCACCCUGAGCUGUUCCCCAUCUGGCUGAGGCUAGCCCAGGAGCCGCCCACCUCUCCCGCGCCCGCCGUUGUCUUCUUGGCACAGACCUCCGACUGCAGGCUUUGGACUCCAGGCUGCAGAAUUACUCACUCUCUGAUUCUUCCUUUGGCAUCUGCCAGAAUCCAGGAUGAGGGCUUUGUAUUCUUUCCUUCUCACUGGAGCCAAAGCUGGAUUGCUCUCCCAUUUCCUCCGAGGACCAGGAUCCGGCAAGAAUCAUCUCUGCAUUUGAGAGACGAGGGAGUAGUCAAACACCAGUUCUGGCUCUAUGCCUCCGGAGGAAGACUUAGUCACUUGGUUACCACUGGCUGAAAUUGAUCGGAGAUGUCACGGGGAGGAAAUGCACUUCCUAUGAGUUUGCAGAGCCCGGUCUUCCAAAAAAAAGGCCUUUUUACUGUACAGAGUAAGUUAGUGGCAAAUUGAUUUCCUCUUCUGAGAGUUCUGACUUGAAUCCCCUAGAUGCUGCCGUUAGCAGGUUCCCUUCCCACGGAAGUCAUGGGAGGCAUGUGACAAAAAUGUAGAGCUGGGGAGAAGCUAAAUUAGAUAUUUCACACACAUUGUAUCGUUUUAUUCCCACAACAACCUAAAGUCAUUGUCCUCAUUUUUCAAGGGUUGAAAAAUGUACAACUCAGAGUGGUGUCUGCGUUUGUCCUCACCUGUCCAAGGUCACACAGCAACUGGCAGAGCUGACAUAUGGACCCAAGUCUGGCUAAUGCCAAAGUCACAGUAGGGAAAGAAACAGCUUUUCUGUCUGAUUCUCUCUCUCUGUUGUCCUUUUUCCUCUCUUUUCCAUUUGUCACCUUCCCUUAUCCCCACCCUCCAAGGAGUCAGAGAUUUUCCCAAGGAUUGAAUAACACAUCACACUGCCUUGCAUACAGUAGGU
Molecule: long non-coding RNA, 1354 nt
Organism: Rhinolophus ferrumequinum (greater horseshoe bat)
Lineage: Eukaryota; Metazoa; Chordata; Mammalia; Chiroptera; Rhinolophidae
Exons: 3
Source: RefSeq, a predicted model, not a curated record